CUACGGGGGGCUCCAGUGGGGAAUAUUGGACAAUGGGGGGAACCCUGAUCCAGCCAUGCCGCGUGUGUGAAGAAGGCCUUUUGGUUGUAAAGCACUUUAAGCAGUGAAGAAGACUCUUCGGUUAAUACCCGGGGACGAUGACAUUAGCUGCAGAAUAAGCACCGGCUAACUCUGUGCCAGCAGCCGCGGUAAUACAGAGGGUGCAAGCGUUAAUCGGAAUUACUGGGCGUAAAGCGAGCGUAGGUGGCUUGAUAAGUCAGAUGUGAAAUCCCCGGGCUUAACCUGGGAACUGCAUCUGAAACUGUUAGGCUAGAGUAGGUGAGAGGGAAGUAGAAUUUCAGGUGUAGCGGUGAAAUGCGUAGAGAUCUGAAGGAAUACCGAUGGCGAAGGCAGCUUCCUGGCAUCAUACUGACACUGAGGCUCGAAAGCGUGGGUAGCAAACAGGAUUAGAUACCCCAGUAGUC
This 464-nucleotide ribosomal RNA is filed under the name uncultured bacterium. RNAcentral describes it as "partial 16S ribosomal RNA". It matches the Rfam family "Bacterial small subunit ribosomal RNA", at positions 339 to 795 of the family's 1533-position model. The record is from RNAcentral.